Molecule: ribosomal RNA, 1114 nt
Filed under: Salmonella enterica
Lineage: Bacteria; Pseudomonadati; Pseudomonadota; Gammaproteobacteria; Enterobacterales; Enterobacteriaceae
Description: bacterial SSU rRNA
Rfam family: Bacterial small subunit ribosomal RNA
Source: RNAcentral
AAAUUGAAGAGUUUGAUCAUGGCUCAGAUUGAACGCUGGCGGCAGGCCUAACACAUGCAAGUCGAACGGUAACAGGAAGCAGCUUGCUGCUUUGCUGACGAGUGGCGGACGGGUGAGUAAUGUCUGGGAAACUGCCUGAUGGAGGGGGAUAACUACUGGAAACGGUGGCUAAUACCGCAUAACGUCGCAAGACCAAAGAGGGGGACCUUCGGGCCUCUUGCCAUCAGAUGUGCCCAGAUGGGAUUAGCUAGUUGGUGAGGUAAUGGCUCACCAAGGCGACGAUCCCUAGCUGGUCUGAGAGGAUGACCAGCCACACUGGAACUGAGACACGGUCCAGACUCCUACGGGAGGCAGCAGUGGGGAAUAUUGCACAAUGGGCGCAAGCCUGAUGCAGCCAUGCCGCGUGUAUGAAGAAGGCCUUCGGGUUGUAAAGUACUUUCAGCGGGGAGGAAGGUGUUGUGGUUAAUAACCGCAGCAAUUGACGUUACCCGCAGAAGAAGCACCGGCUAACUCCGUGCCAGCAGCCGCGGUAAUACGGAGGGUGCAAGCGUUAAUCGGAAUUACUGGGCGUAAAGCGCACGCAGGCGGUCUGUCAAGUCGGAUGUGAAAUCCCCGGGCUCAACCUGGGAACUGCAUUCGAAACUGGCAGGCUUGAGUCUUGUAGAGGGGGGUAGAAUUCCAGGUGUAGCGGUGAAAUGCGUAGAGAUCUGGAGGAAUACCGGUGGCGAAGGCGGCCCCCUGGACAAAGACUGACGCUCAGGUGCGAAAGCGUGGGGAGCAAACAGGAUUAGAUACCCUGGUAGUCCACGCCGUAAACGAUGUCUACUUGGAGGUUGUGCCCUUGAGGCGUGGCUUCCGGAGCUAACGCGUUAAGUAGACCGCCUGGGGAGUACGGCCGCAAGGUUAAAACUCAAAUGAAUUGACGGGGGCCCGCACAAGCGGUGGAGCAUGUGGUUUAAUUCGAUGCAACGCGAAGAACCUUACCUGGUCUUGACAUCCACAGAACUUUCCAGAGAUGGAUUGGUGCCUUCGGGAACUGUGAGACAGGUGCUGCAUGGCUGUCGUCAGCUCGUGUUGUGAAAUGUUGGGUUAAGUCCCGCAACGAGCGCAACCC